RNAcentral lists this ribosomal RNA (500 nucleotides) under uncultured bacterium. Its description in RNAcentral is "partial 16S ribosomal RNA". It matches the Rfam family "Bacterial small subunit ribosomal RNA", at positions 28 to 507 of the family's 1533-position model. The record is from RNAcentral.
GACGAACGCUGGCGGCGUGCUUAACACAUGCAAGUCGAACGGGUCUGCCCUGUUUUUUGCGGGGUGGGUCAGUGGCGAACGGGUGAGUAACACGUGAGUAACCUGCCCCUCACUUCUGGAUAACCGCUUGAAAGGGUGGCUAAUACGGGGUGUUCUGGCUGUGCCGCAUGGUGUGGCUGGGAAAGAUUCACUUUUGUGGUGUUUUGGUGGGGGAUGGGCUCGCGGCCUAUCAGCUUGUUGGUGGGGUGAUGGCCUGCCAAGGCUUUGACGGGUAGCCGGCCUGGGAGGGUGGGCGGUCACACUGGGGCUGAGAUACGGCCCAGACUCCUGCGGGAGGCAGCAGUGGGGGGUAUUGCACAAUGGGCGGAAGCCUGAUGCAGCGACGUCGCGUGAGGGAUGGAGGCCUUCGGGUUGUGAACCUCUUUCGCCGGUGAAGAAGGUCCUGCUAUUUGUGGUGGGGUUGACGGUAGCCGGGUUAUGAAGCGCCGGCUAACUACGUG